GAAAUCCAAACAUGUGUAAUAUAACUUCACCCUACCAACGAAUUGAUGAUACUAAAACCUGCCAAGAAUUUGGCACUACAAAGAUUAGGGUAGAGAACCAGACCUACCCUAACACCACAAACCAGUAAUAGUUAAUACUAUAAACGCAACACCAAAACAGACAUUGUUAAUUUUUUUAAACGCAAGACCAAAUCAGACAUGCAUCUUCAGUCAAGAACAGUGUCCACCAAAACGGGACCAGAUCAUCCAGCAGCGUCAGGUUCAUCCAGCUGCCAAACUGCACAGCGCCGAUUGCUCCGAAUCCUUCAGAGAGAAAACGUUAUUGUCAAACCUAGCUCGCAUCAGAAAAGGGACACAACUAUUCUUUUCCGCUCUGCUCCAAUCACGUAUUUGUCCAAGACAAGCAACCACAACAACUACAUGACAGCGAGACCGACGCACAACAAAUAAUCUAAUCGUAAUCGAUCCGGGAGAGGAAGGAAUUGCGAUGCAAGAGUGUGGACAAGAAGCAAGAUGAAGAAAAAAGAACACGUAGUGGUGGAUGGUGCUGUGGUGAGCUACUAGAAUGCUAGAUAGAUAUCUGAAAAAUAUAUGAUGGUUGUGCACUACUAGCUUUGCAAGGGAGGGGGUAGUUGGCCAUCCUUUUUCACAGUGUCACUGCAGCCAAAGCCAAGCAAUCCUCCUCAGUCCUCACUAUCACACACACACAUACAGAGGAUUAUCUCACUUGACAAUUGACAUAGCCUGACUUUUGGAAGUCUGCAGCUGAUGCAAGAUUCAGCAAUACACUAGCAGCAGCAGACAGUAGUUAGACAAGUAGCGGUUACGGUUACGGUUGGAUUUUGCUUGUCUGCGGCCGGUGGACAGCUGAGAGACAAUGGCAAUUAGGCGUGUAGUACAUGUACAUACACCAUGUGUGGAAGCAAGGCAAUCAGGUGUCGUUUGGGAAAAACCGGACGCAUAGCUUAACUUUCCCUCUUGCAAGUGUAACCAACCAUGCCCUUCUCGCGUGCGUAGCUACAAAUGUCUCCAUCUCGCGUCUUCUCGAGGUUACUGCUGCUGUUCAUGUUCUCAUGUUGUAACUAACUGAUUUGUACGUGAAGAGUCUGAAACUGUUGGAUUUUGUUGGAAGGUAGUGGUGAUCGAUGAUGGAGUCGGCGAGGUUUGUGUACGAGCUGGAUCAUGGGGGAGAAGGCGAGGAGGAGGAAGAGGAGGACGCCUGCUUCUUGGACAUCUACGUGCACGGCGCGCGCGGCAUCCACAACAUCUGCAUCUACGCGGCGCAGGACGUGUACGCCAGGCUCGCGCUCACGUCCAGCCCGGACGACGCGCCGGCGCUCGACACGCGCGUCGCGGCGGGCGGCGGCGCCAACCCGCGCUUCGACGAGCGCCUCCCGCCGCUGCGCGUCAGGCGGGCGCGCCUCGGCACCGACGUGCUCAAGUGCGAGAUAUGGAUGCGGAGCUGCGCCAGGCGGCUGCUCGACGACCAGCUCCUCGGCUUCGCGCUCGUGCCGCUCGCCGCCGUCGCGGCCGCCGACGGCGCGCGGCUCGCGCAGGACUUCUCGCUGUCGUCCACCGACCUCUUCCACUCGCCGGCGGGGACCAUACGGCUCUCGCUCGCCCUCCACUCCGGACCACCCGGCGACGCGUGCCCGCCGCCGGAGCGCGCCGCCGCCGAGCCGUCGAUCACGUCGGAGGUGGUGAUCCUCGAGCCAGCGCCACCGGUGGACUACGCGAGGAUCGAGUUCCCUGACCUUAACGCGGUGAAAGAAAACGACGACAUGGCCGUGCAGUACCUGCCGUUCUUGCACCUCGCCGACGCGCAGGCCAUGGACGACGACGACUGCGAGAUGGCCACGAGCCCGCGCGAGGAGAAGCCGGCGUCCUCGGACGACGGGAGCAAGAACGCCUCGACGUCGACGACCACCGCCGUCAGCGACGACAACAGGGCGGUGACGCGCAAGGCGCGGCCCGACGCCGACGACGCCGCCACCGCGCCGAUGUCGUGCCGCUCGCCGGACACGCCGACGUCCAACGGCGGCAAGCCGUCGUCGUCGGACAAGGAGAAGGGCGCCGCGGAAGACGUGUUCGACUCGCCGCCCCUGCGCGAUAUCGACAUGGAGGCGGAGCAGAGCGCGAUGCAGCGGCAGAUCAUGGAGAUGUACAUGAAGAGCAUGCAGCAGUUCACCGAAUCGCUGUCCAAGAUGAAGCUGCCGAUGGAGCUCGACGGCGACAAUGGCGUCGUCGUCCAGAAGGAGGAGAAGCCGGAGGCAGAGGUGAAGCUGCAGCCCAAGAAGGAUGGUGCAAGGGUGUUCUACGGAAGCAGAGCUUUCUUCUGAACAAAAAGCAAACAAAAAAAAAUUGCAGAGAGAAACAAAUUAAGAUGAUCUCUUCUUGCAAUUGCAAAAGUUAUAUCUCAGCAAUUCAAUGCCAUGUACGAAGCAAAAUGCCAAAGAACAAAACAGAAGUUAGUGGUUGCUGUUUCUACAUCGACUUCAACGCGACUAACACCACGAUCAGUUCUCCUGAUUACAAUGGACUGCCAUGAACUUUCAUUGCAAAUAGCUUCGAAAUGCCAAUGUACAAGUCCAACAUUUCUGCCGGUCGUACACUUCAGUUCCUGAAGAAGCUGGGAGACAGUCUUCAGUCGUCACAAGAAAUUUGGUACUUGUGUAGUACUCUGUAUGAACAAUGACUUAUUAGUAUGAGAUUUAUUAAAGAAGACGAAAACUUCAGACAAGUCAAAGUCAAUGGGAGAUGAUGCUAACAUCUGCUUCUUUGUUA
Molecule: RNA transcript, 2784 nt
Organism: Oryza sativa Japonica Group (Japanese rice)
Lineage: Eukaryota; Viridiplantae; Streptophyta; Magnoliopsida; Poales; Poaceae
Source: RefSeq, a predicted model, not a curated record